This 2017-nucleotide long non-coding RNA is filed under the name Homo sapiens (human). RNAcentral's name for it is "SCOC antisense RNA 1 (SCOC-AS1)". Lineage: Eukaryota; Metazoa; Chordata; Mammalia; Primates; Hominidae. The record is from RNAcentral.
GAAGCUAAGCGGCGCUGGUGAAGCGGCUCAUCAGGUCUAUCAGGAAACCUGAGAAUUGGAGUGAGAAUCCCAGUGUGGAAAAUCAGGAAAGAGGCUGGUAUGAGCGACAGAGAAGUCAUUCAGGAAAGAGGUUAUUGAAUUCAUUGGAGAAUGAAUGCUGUUCUGAAUUUGUUUACCUCAACAAAUAGCUUACACCUCCAAUCCUGUCUUGGCGUGCCCUGCUCAGAAGACACAAGACACACCAGGAGUGACGUGAGGAAACAGGCAGUAAAGAUAAGCCUUUGCGACUGGGUUACUCAGACCCUCCCUGACAAGGAGGAGCCCAUCUUGAGUGUCCCAGGAGACCUGGACCUUGUGGACAUCCUGCAGAAUGGCAUAUGGAUCCAUUACAAUGAUGACAUCAUGCUGACUGGGCAAGAUGACAAGAGGUUGCUAUACACCAGAGGGCUUGGGAAGACACAUGCCCUGCAGAAGAAAAACCUGCUCCUGAUUACAAGGAUAUGUCGAUUGCAGGGAGGCAGAGGAAGAAAUACAACAGGAUGUCUAUCGAACACAACUUUGGAGUAAGACCUUGGGACCCAACUCCUGUUUGCUUCAUAUACAAGCUUUGAGACGUGAUGAGUUUGCCUCGAUUCUCUAAGCCUCAGUUUCCUCAUCUGUUGUUGUGAGGGAAAUAAUGCAUGGAAAGCUUUUAACACAAUGGCUGGCACACAGUGAAAGUGCAAGACGUUAACCAUUAUCAUGAGAGUUUUCAAUUGGAAUGAAUAGGAGACUUAAAUUUGCAUGAUUGUACUUUUACACUAAGCCAUUAAUGAUGCAUUCAUUUAGUUUUCUACUCCCAAAGAACAUAGAUUUGAUUAAUUAUAACAAGAAUUUAAAAAUAUUUCCAUUAUUCAGAAAUAACCUACAGAGUCUAAGCCUGUCCUUUCCUUCCUCCCUUUUUCCCAAUCUUUUUUUUUUUUUUUUUUUUUUGAAAGAAAUAGCAAUUAUGUAGUCAGAUUCACUGGCUCUUUCUUCUUCUCCCUGGUAACAGGCUAAGUCUUAACCUUGAUUAGGCAGCAUCGCAUCUGAUCUAAGUUCUUCCCAGCUUUCAGCCCAGCCUGCUUCCCCAGGCUUCAGAGCGCAGCUCUGCACCACCCUCUCCACCCCUGCUUAGCAUCAGAACAUUGCCAAAGCUAAGCAUCUAUGCAAUGUUUCUUUUGAAUAGUUGUCUACCUACUUGGAUAUUUUUUUCCUUCUCCCAGAGGCAAAAAUUGGACCACUUAAUCUAUGCUGUAGGACAGUCUUGCCCCUCAGAAAAUACUUGAGCAUAUUAAGUUGUUAUGAAAUGGAUCUGAGAAGCAGAGUUCUGAACCAUGCCCGUGAAUUUCCCAGCCUCAUCACACUGGCAUUCUUUCAUAGCCCCGAAAUACUUUCCACUUGCCCUUCCUAUGAAUGCAAGUAAAGCAAAGCCUCUUGACAAAGCAAAUUAAGAGUAAUCAAUGGUUUGGGUUUUUUUUUUAAUUAUUAUUUCCUGUGACUCAAAUCAAACCUAUUUCUCAACUGUAACGUACGAAAAGAGAGAGAUCAAGUUGACAUUUAGGAAAAUUGAACAUUGAUAAGUAAAUUGCCUUCACUCAGUCUCUUAGGUCCUCUCUCCUUUCCCCCUACCCCACGACACCCCGUGGCCCUGCUCUCUCUCACACACACAGCUGAAGGUAUCUUUAAAGGGUACCUAUUUCCUGCAGAUCACGCUUAUGUUAAUCUCACUUCAAGUACAGAUGCACCGAGGACAUUACAGGGUCAGUCAUUCUUAUCCACAAAGCUUUAGAUUCCACUACAUUAUUCAAACUGGACAAUGGACUUCCCCAUUUUGUGCCCAGACUUGCUCACUAAUAGAGUGACCUCCUUGUUAUGGGUGAGGAUAUAUUUGAUGCUAAAACUGCUACAAAUUUUUAUCAGCAUUUAAUCUUGAGACUGUGAAUUACUACAUCCUGCAUGUGUUGGUACCUUACUUUGAUUAAAAAUGGGAUAAAUC